UACGUAGGUGGCAAGCGUUGUCCGGAUUUAUUGGGCGUAAAGAGCGUGUAGGCGGCCAGGUAGGUCUGCUGUGAAAACUCGAGGCUCAACCUCGAGACGUCGGCGGAAACCAUCUGGCUAGAGUCCGGAAGAGGAGAGUGGAAUUCCUGGUGUAGCGGUGAAAUGCGCAGAUAUCAGGAAGAACACCUAUGGCGAAGGCAGCUCUCUGGGACGGUACUGACGCUGAGACGCGAAAGCGUGGGGAGCGAACAGG
Molecule: ribosomal RNA, 253 nt
Filed under: uncultured bacterium
Lineage: Bacteria
Description: partial 16S ribosomal RNA
Rfam family: Bacterial small subunit ribosomal RNA
Source: RNAcentral